Molecule: ribosomal RNA, 492 nt
Filed under: uncultured bacterium
Lineage: Bacteria
Description: partial 16S ribosomal RNA
Rfam family: Bacterial small subunit ribosomal RNA
Source: RNAcentral
AUUGGACGCUGGCGGCAUGCUUUACACAUGCAAGUCGAACGGUAACAGGCCUUCGGGUGUUGACGAGUGGCGAACGGGUGAGUAAUGCAUCGGAACGUGCCCAGAGGUGGGGGAUAACGCAGCGAAAGCUGUGCUAAUACCGCAUGUGAUCUGAGGAUGAAAGCGGGGGACCAAGCAGCAAUGUUUGGCCUCGCGCCUCUGGAGCGGCCGAUGUCAGAUUAGGUAGUUGGUGGGGUAAAGGCCUACCAAGCCGACGAUCUGUAGCUGGUCUGAGAGGACGACCAGCCACACUGGGACUGAGACACGGCCCAGACUCCUACGGGAGGCAGCAGUGGGGAAUUUUGGACAAUGGGCGCAAGCCUGAUCCAGCAAUGCCGCGUGCGGGAAGAAGGCCUUCGGGUUGUAAACCGCUUUUGUACGGAACGAAAAGGCUCUGGCUAAUACCUGGGGCUGAUGACGGUACCGUAAGAAUAAGCACCGGCUAACUACGUG